RNAcentral lists this transfer RNA (72 nucleotides) under Ictidomys tridecemlineatus (thirteen-lined ground squirrel). RNAcentral describes it as "Spermophilus tridecemlineatus (thirteen-lined ground squirrel) tRNA". It matches the Rfam family "tRNA". Rfam says of the family: Transfer RNA (tRNA) molecules are approximately 80 nucleotides in length. Their secondary structure includes four short double-helical elements and three loops (D, anti-codon, and T loops). The record is from Rfam by way of RNAcentral. Lineage: Eukaryota; Metazoa; Chordata; Mammalia; Rodentia; Sciuridae.
GGAGCUGUGGCUCAGUGAUAGAGCACUCAUCUUGAAUGUGUGAGGCACUGAGUGUGAUCCUCAGCACCUCAU